This is a long non-coding RNA of Telopea speciosissima, 264 nucleotides long. RefSeq lists it as uncharacterized. NCBI's taxonomy places the organism in Eukaryota, Viridiplantae, Streptophyta, Magnoliopsida, Proteales, Proteaceae. The transcript is spliced from 3 exons. The record is from RefSeq and is a predicted model, not a curated record.
UCUCUUCUUCUCUCGUCUUCAUCGAUCGAUCAUCAUUAUGGAUUUUUGCAGUAAAUCUGCUUGGGACUCCAGCUCUCCCUUCGACUGCCUCCUUUUCGACCUUGAUGAUAGUUUUACUCUUCAAAAAUUGGAAUUGGUGGAGCAUGCAAGAGAAACAUUGAAGGAUUUCUUGUGGAAAAAUGUGGAUUUGCAGAGGAUAAAGCGUCAAAUCUUCGAGUUGAGCUUUUUAAAACCUACGGAAGCACUCUUGCUGGCCUAAAAUCU